CUACGGGUUGCAGCAGUGGGGAAUAUUGGACAAUGGGGGAAACCCUGAUCUAGCCAUGCCGCGUGAGUGAUGAAGGCCUUAGGGUUGUAAAGCUCUUUCGCUGGGGAAGAUAAUGACGGUACCCAGUAAAGAAACCCCGGCUAACUCCGUGCCAGCAGCCGCGGUAAUACGGAGGGGGUUAGCGUUGUUCGGAAUUACUGGGCGUAAAGCGCGCGUAGGCGGGCUAUUAAGUCAGGGGUGAAAUCCCGGGGCUCAACCCCGGAACUGCCUUUGAUACUGGUAGUCUUGAGUUCGAGAGAGGUGAGUGGAAUUCCGAGUGUAGAGGUGAAAUUCGUAGAUAUUCGGAGGAACAUCAGUGGCGAAGGCGACUCACUGGCUCGAUACUGACGCUGAGGUGCGAAAGUGUGGGGAGCAAACAGGAUUAGAUACCCCAGUAGUC
This 439-nucleotide ribosomal RNA is filed under the name uncultured bacterium. Its description in RNAcentral is "partial 16S ribosomal RNA". It matches the Rfam family "Bacterial small subunit ribosomal RNA", at positions 339 to 795 of the family's 1533-position model. The record is from RNAcentral.